RNAcentral lists this ribosomal RNA (903 nucleotides) under Debilos indistinctum. RNAcentral's name for it is "SSU rRNA". It matches the Rfam family "Eukaryotic small subunit ribosomal RNA", at positions 426 to 1289 of the family's 1831-position model. Lineage: Eukaryota; Metazoa; Arthropoda; Insecta; Hymenoptera; Ichneumonidae. The record is from RNAcentral.
CAGCAGGCGCGCAAAUUACCCACUCCCGGCACGGGGAGGUAGUGACGAAAAAUAACGAUACGGGACUCAUCCGAGGCCCCGUAAUCGGAAUGAGUACACUUUAAAUCCUUUAAUGAGGAUCCAUUGGAGGGCAAGUCUGGUGCCAGCAGCCGCGGUAAUUCCAGCUCCAAUAGCGUAUAUUAAAGUUGUUGCGGUUAAAAAGCUCGUAGUUGAAUCUGUGUGUCACGAUGCUGGUUCUCCGCUCGCGGUGUUAACUAGCAUGCCGUGAGACGUCCUACCGGUGGGCUUAGCUCUUUGCGGGGCGGUCCAACUAAUAUCCCAUCGCGGUGCUCUUCAUCGAGUGUCGAGGUGGGCCGGUACGUUUACUUUGAACAAAUUAGAGUGCUUAAAGCAGGCUGUCUUCGCCUGAAUACUGUGUGCAUGGAAUAAUGGAAUAGGACCUCGGUUCUAUUUUGUUGGUUUUCGGAACCCCGAGGUAAUGAUUAAUAGGGACAGAUGGGGGCAUUCGUAUUGCGACGUUAGAGGUGAAAUUCUUGGAUCGUCGCAAGACGGACAGAAGCGAAAGCAUUUGCCAAAAAUGUUUUCAUUAAUCAAGAACGAAAGUUAGAGGUUCGAAGGCGAUCAGAUACCGCCCUAGUUCUAACCAUAAACGAUGCCAGCUAGCGAUCCGCCGAAGUUCCUCCGAUGACUCGGCGGGCAGCUUCCGGGAAACCAAAGCUUUUGGGUUCCGGGGGAAGUAUGGUUGCAAAGCUGAAACUUAAAGGAAUUGACGGAAGGGCACCACCAGGAGUGGAGCCUGCGGCUUAAUUUGACUCAACACGGGAAACCUCACCAGGCCCGGACACCGGAAGGAUUGACAGAUUGAGAGCUCUUUCUUGAUUCGGUGGGUGGUGGUGCAUGGCC